GAUCCAGCAAUGCCGCGUGAGUGAAGAAGGCCUUCGGGUUGUAAAGCUCUUUUGUCAGGGAAGAAACGGUGGAGGCUAAUAUCCUUUGCUAAUGACGGUACCUGAAGAAUAAGCACCGGCUAACUACGUGCCAGCAGCCGCGGUAAUACGUAGGGUGCAAGCGUUAAUCGGAAUUACUGGGCGUAAAGCGUGCGCAGGCGGUUUUGUAAGUCUGUCGUGAAAUCCCCGGGCUCAACCUGGGAAUUGCGAUGGAGACUGCAAGGCUAGAAUCUGGCAGAGGGGGGUAGAAUUCCACGUGUAGCAGUGAAAUGCGUAGAUAUGUGGAGGAACACCGAUGGCGAAGGCAGCCCCCUGGGUCAAGAUUGACGCUCAUGCACGAAAGCGUGGGGAGCAAACAGGAUUAGAUACCCUGGUAGUCCACGCCCUAAACGAUGUCUACUAGUUGUCGGGUCUUAAUUGACUUGGUAACGCAGCUAACGCGUGAAGUAGACCGCCUGGGGAGUACGGUCGCAAGAUUA
This 518-nucleotide ribosomal RNA is filed under the name bacterium enrichment culture clone PN003. RNAcentral's name for it is "bacterial SSU rRNA". It matches the Rfam family "Bacterial small subunit ribosomal RNA", at positions 385 to 896 of the family's 1533-position model. The record is from RNAcentral.